RNAcentral lists this transfer RNA (67 nucleotides) under Kineococcus aurantiacus. RNAcentral's name for it is "tRNA-Gly". The record is from RNAcentral. Lineage: Bacteria; Bacillati; Actinomycetota; Actinomycetes; Kineosporiales; Kineosporiaceae.
GCGGCUUUACCUGGAAAUAACCUAGUCUUCCAAACUAGCUACGCGAGUUCGAUUCUCGUCACCCGCU